RNAcentral lists this ribosomal RNA (498 nucleotides) under uncultured bacterium. RNAcentral describes it as "partial 16S ribosomal RNA". It matches the Rfam family "Bacterial small subunit ribosomal RNA", at positions 30 to 523 of the family's 1533-position model. The record is from RNAcentral.
AUUGAACGCUGGCGGCAUGCCUUACACAUGCAAGUCGAACGGUAACAGGUCUUCGGAUGCUGACGAGUGGCGAACGGGUGAGUAAUACAUCGGAACGUGCCUAGUAGUGGGGGAUAACUACUCGAAAGAGUGGCUAAUACCGCAUGAGAUCUACGGAUGAAAGCAGGGGAUCGCAAGACCUUGUGCUACUAGAGCGGCCGAUGGCAGAUUAGGUAGUUGGUGGGAUAAAAGCUUACCAAGCCGACGAUCUGUAGCUGGUCUGAGAGGACGAUCAGCCACACUGGGACUGAGACACAGCCCAGACUCCGACGGGAGGCAGCAGUGGGGAAUUUUGGACAAUGGGCGAAAGCCUGAUCCAGCAAUGCCGCGUGCAGGAUGAAGGCCUUCGGGUUGUAAACUGCUUUUGUACGGAACGAAAAGCCCCGGGUUAAUACCCUGGGGUCAUGACGGUACCGUAAGAAUAAGCACCGGCUAACUACGUGCCAGCAGCCGCGGUAA